RNAcentral lists this ribosomal RNA (269 nucleotides) under uncultured bacterium. RNAcentral describes it as "partial 16S ribosomal RNA". It matches the Rfam family "Bacterial small subunit ribosomal RNA", at positions 88 to 354 of the family's 1533-position model. The record is from RNAcentral.
CCGGCGACCGGCGCACGGGUGAGUAACACGUAUGCAACCUGGCCGUGACAGAUGGAUAACCGGGAGAAAUCCCGCCUAAUACAACAUAAUGCCGGGAGGGGACAUCCCCUGCCGGCCAAAGGGGCGACCCCGGUCACGGAUGGGCAUGCGGCGCAUUAGGUAGUUGGUGGGGCAACGGCCCACCAAGCCGACGAUGCGUAGGGGUUCUGAGAGGAAGGCCCCCCACACUGGUACUGAGACACGGACCAGACUCCUACGGGAGGCAGCAG